Molecule: long non-coding RNA, 316 nt
Organism: Arvicola amphibius (Eurasian water vole)
Lineage: Eukaryota; Metazoa; Chordata; Mammalia; Rodentia; Cricetidae
Exons: 3
Source: RefSeq, a predicted model, not a curated record
GUGUGUACUACCAUGCCUGGUUUAUGAGGUGCUGGAGAUGAAACUCUGCAACUUGGGUGUGCUAGGCAAGUGUUGCGCAGCUGAGUUAUACCCCAGCCACAUGAGAUUUUGUACUUCUCUGAACUGGCUUGGUGAGGCCUUGGGUUUGAUGCCCAAGGGGAAAGAAAAAUUAAGUGACAUCACUAAGAAGGAAGAAUGAUCAGGAUGUGAGCCCCCAGAUUAUUGCUCCACUCAUCAUGCCUGCUUGUUGCCAUCUUCCCUACCUUGAUGGUGAUAGACUUAGAACCCUAAGUCCAAAUAAACCCUUCCUUCUAUA